GACGAACCGUCCUAACGUUGUUCGGAAUUACUGGGCGUAAAGUGUGCGCAGGCGGCGCUGCAAGUCGAGUGUGAAAUCCCCGAGCUUAACUUGGGAAUUGCGCUCGAAACUACGGUGCUGGAGUAUGGCAGAGGAAGGUGGAAUUCCACGUGUAGCGGUGAAAUGCGUAGAGAUGUGGAGGAACACCGAUGGCGAAGGCAGCCUUCUGGGCCAAUACUGACGCUCAUGCACGAAAGCGUGGGGAGCAAACAGG
Molecule: ribosomal RNA, 253 nt
Filed under: uncultured bacterium
Lineage: Bacteria
Description: partial 16S ribosomal RNA
Rfam family: Bacterial small subunit ribosomal RNA
Source: RNAcentral